This 552-nucleotide ribosomal RNA is filed under the name Simenchelys parasitica (snubnosed eel). RNAcentral describes it as "partial 12S ribosomal RNA subunit". It matches the Rfam family "Bacterial small subunit ribosomal RNA", at positions 488 to 1294 of the family's 1533-position model. The record is from RNAcentral. Lineage: Eukaryota; Metazoa; Chordata; Actinopteri; Anguilliformes; Synaphobranchidae.
UGGGUUGGUAAAUCUCGUGCCAGCCACCGCGGUUAGACGAGAGGCUCAAAAUUAACACUCUUUCGGCGUAAAGCGUGAUUAGAGCCACAACACACUAAAGCCAAACACCUCCUAAGCUGUCAUACGCAACCAGAGGCAGGAAGCCCCCCAACGAAAGUAGCUUUAAUAAACAUUUUGAAUUCACGACAGUUAAGAAACAAACUGGGAUUAGAUACCCCACUAUGCUUAACCAUAAACAACGAUGACAAUAUACAAAUAUCAUCCGCCAGGGGACUACGAGCGCCAGCUUAAAACCCAAAGGACUUGGCGGUGCCUUAAACCCACCUAGAGGAGCCUGUUCUAUAACCGAUGAUCCCCGUUUAACCUCACCACCCCUUGUUAAUCCCGCCUAUAUACCGCCGUCGCCAGCUUACCUUAUGAAAGCACAACAGUAAGCCAAAUGGGUAUCACCCAAAACGUCAGGUCGAGGUGUAGCGAAUGGGGUGGGAAGAAAUGGGCUACAUUUUCUGCCCCAGAAUAUUACGAAAAGUGCCAUGAAAACAGCACUAAUGA